UGUGAAGAAGCUUUUUAACAUGAUAUGAUCUCAUUUGUCUUUUUUUGCUUUUUGCCUGUGUCUGUCGGGUAUUUCUCAAGAAAUCAUUUCCCAGUCCAAUGUCCUAGAAAGUUUUCUCAAAGUUUUAUUUGAGCAGUUUCAUAAUUUGAAGUCUUAGAUUGAACCUGUCCCAUCCUUCUGUAUAUGGAUAUUCCGUUUUUUGAGCACCUUUAUUAAAAAGAUAGUAUUUU
This is a long non-coding RNA of Sapajus apella (tufted capuchin), 230 nucleotides long. RefSeq lists it as uncharacterized. The record is from RefSeq and is a predicted model, not a curated record. Lineage: Eukaryota; Metazoa; Chordata; Mammalia; Primates; Cebidae. The transcript has 3 exons.